AUUUUGGCUAUUAGGCGCAUAAGAAAAUCUUAAGGGAGAUUUUUAACCAAAAACGCUAUUUUUUGUAAUGGGGCUUACUUGUAGCCAUAUGACAAACCAAGAAUUUAAGUGCUGUGGCACGGAGUCGUGCCGGAAACUUGCCGGCACGAUACAGCACAGUGCGUACCGAACAGUGCCGAUGCGUGUCGAUCAAAAAAAUUUUUAUGUACCAACAUAUAAUAGAAUAAAAUAUAUUUUUUUUUAACAACAAAAUAUUCUAACUAUUUAUUAUGUCUUUUUAUCACAUCUUUUAAAUUUUAUUUAGAAAAUUACUAGCUAAUUUAAAGAAUAGAAAAUUUUGAGCAGUGCCAUCAGUACGGGAUCUAUAUCGUGCCGGUAUCUUAUUAACACAGUACGGCACGGUGGAUACGGCCCGUGCCGACGGACACAUAAAACCUUAUGACAAACUUUUUUAAAUAAUUAUAUAAAACUAAAAUUUUGAAGUAAGAUAAAAAAUAAAAAAUUUAGUAUUUGAUUUUUAAGAAAA
Molecule: long non-coding RNA, 526 nt
Filed under: Ananas comosus (pineapple)
Lineage: Eukaryota; Viridiplantae; Streptophyta; Magnoliopsida; Poales; Bromeliaceae
Description: long non-coding RNA (ACOM_LNC006628)
Source: RNAcentral